GGACAUGUGCCUGAAAGUUAAGGUUUACUUUGAUAGAGUAACAAAUGGGGGUUCAAAUCCCCUCAUUUCCU
Molecule: transfer RNA, 71 nt
Filed under: Megophrys omeimontis (Mount Omei spadefoot toad)
Lineage: Eukaryota; Metazoa; Chordata; Amphibia; Anura; Megophryidae
Description: Xenophrys omeimontis (Mount Omei spadefoot toad) tRNA-Ile
Rfam family: tRNA
About the family: Transfer RNA (tRNA) molecules are approximately 80 nucleotides in length.
Source: RNAcentral